Molecule: ribosomal RNA, 164 nt
Filed under: uncultured bacterium
Lineage: Bacteria
Description: partial 16S rRNA
Rfam family: Bacterial small subunit ribosomal RNA
Source: RNAcentral
UAGGGAAUCUUCGGCAAUGGACGAAAGUCUGAUGGAGCAACGCCGCGUGAGUGAAGAAGGUUUUCGGAUCGUAAAGCUCUGUUGUUGGUGAAGAAGGAUAGAGGCAGUAACUGGUCUUUAUUUGACGGUAAUCAACCAGAAAGUCACGGCUAACUACGUACCAG